Molecule: unclassified non-coding RNA, 598 nt
Filed under: Hevea brasiliensis (rubber tree)
Lineage: Eukaryota; Viridiplantae; Streptophyta; Magnoliopsida; Malpighiales; Euphorbiaceae
Source: RNAcentral
GUUACCCGAGAUCAUAGGAAAGAGGUCAGAGUUUUACUCGUUAAUGUAUUUAUUCCAUGAAUUAAUUUUCUUGUCAGUUAUUAUUGGUUUUGCAUAAUUUGCCAAUGCUCAUUUGACAUCAUUUGUGGAAGGAUUCAUAAACGCAUGAAUGUAAAAUGUCUAUAUGAAUUGAGGGAUUGCCAGUUAAUAGAGCCUGGAACAAGGAGAAGUCAGUGUAGAAGUUCUGGAAUCAACUCCUACUCCUGAUAUGUUGCUGAAGCUUUUUAUUUUCAUUUUUCAGCACAAUGAAUCUAGUAUCUUUGAUUUGUUAAAUUGGCCAUUUCUAAAUGGUCAAACCAAAGUGGAGAGUCGACCAAACAACCAAUUAAUGCACCGACAUAGUUAACCCCUGCUACGUGUGUAUGAUUCUAAGUAUUGAUCCUUAUGACUUUCUUUUAGAGAUAUUCCAAAAUACUUAUUGAGUGCAAUUGUUUUCAGAAAAAAAAAUAACGUUGUGCUUUUCUUUGAUUUAAUAACUUUGUGGUUUAUCAGGCUUAUUUGGUCACAAUCACUAUCUUGUUAGAGCUUGAGGUAAAAAAUGAACAGAGGAAUGCUAAGG